UCAGGGGUGGGUUCAUGGACUAUACUUUUCAACAUCUUUAUUAACAAUUUGGAUGUGGGGGUGAAGAGCUUACAGGCCAAGUCUGCAGACGACACCAACCUCUGGGGAAGCAUAGUCAUGC
Gavialis gangeticus (Gharial) is the source of this 121-nucleotide long non-coding RNA. RefSeq lists it as uncharacterized. NCBI's taxonomy places the organism in Eukaryota, Metazoa, Chordata, Crocodylia, Gavialidae. The record is from RefSeq and is a predicted model, not a curated record. The transcript is spliced from 3 exons.